RNAcentral lists this ribosomal RNA (301 nucleotides) under uncultured bacterium. Its description in RNAcentral is "partial 16S ribosomal RNA". It matches the Rfam family "Bacterial small subunit ribosomal RNA", at positions 509 to 808 of the family's 1533-position model. The record is from RNAcentral.
CAGUCGCCACGGUAAUACGAAGGGUGCAAGCGUUAAUCGGAAUUACUGGGCGUAAAGCGUGCGUAGGCGGUUUGUUAAGUCUGCUGUGAAAUCCCCGGGCUCAACCUGGGAAUGGCAGUGGAUACUGGCAAGCUAGAGUGUGUCAGAGGAUGGUGGAAUUCCCGGUGUAGCGGUGAAAUGCGUAGAGAUCGGGAGGAACAUCAGUGGCGAAGGCGGCCAUCUGGGACAACACUGACGCUGAGGCACGAAAGCGUGGGGAGCAACAGGAUUAGAUACCCCAGUAGUCCCUGUCUCUUAUACA